This 372-nucleotide ribosomal RNA is filed under the name uncultured organism. Its description in RNAcentral is "bacterial SSU rRNA". It matches the Rfam family "Bacterial small subunit ribosomal RNA", at positions 526 to 896 of the family's 1533-position model. The record is from RNAcentral.
CGGAGGGUGCGAACGUUGCUCGGAAUUACUGGGCGUAAAGCGCGUGUAGGCGGGUCGGCAAGUCAGGCGUGAAAUCCCCAGGCUCAACCUGGGAACUGCGCUUGAAACUGCCGGUCUUGAGUAUCGGAGAGGGUGGCGGAAUUCCUGGUGUAGAGGUGAAAUUCGUAGAUAUCAGGAGGAACACCGGUGGCGAAGGCGGCCACCUGGACGAUUACUGACGCUGAGACGCGAAGGCGUGGGGAGCAAACAGGAUUAGAUACCCUGGUAGUCCACGCCGUAAACGAUGGGUGCUAGGUGUCUCGGGUAUUGACCCCUGAGGUGCCGUAGCUAACGCGUUAAGCACCCCGCCUGGGAAGUACGGCCGCAAGGCUA